UGGGGAAUAUUGCACAAUGGGCGAAAGCCUGAUGCAGCGACGCCGCGUGGGGGAUGAAGGCUUUCGGGUUGUAAACCUCUUUCGCUAUCGAACAAGGCCCGCUUAGGGUGGGUUGAGGGUAGGUGGAGAAGAAGCGCCGGCUAACUACGUGCCAGCAGCCGCGGUAAUACGUAGGGCGCGAGCGUUGUCCGGAAUUAUUGGGCGUAAAGGGCUUGUAGGCGGCUUGUUGCGCCUGCUGUGAAAACGCGGGGCUUAACUUCGCGCGUACAGUGGGUACGGGCAGGCUUGAGUGUGGUAGGGGUGACUGGAAUUCCAGGUGUAGCGGUGGAAUGCGGAGAUAUCUGGAGGAACACCGAUGGCGAAGGCAGGUCACUGGGCCAUUACUGACGCUGAGGAGCGAAAGCAUGGGUAGCGAACAGG
Molecule: ribosomal RNA, 420 nt
Filed under: bacterium
Lineage: Bacteria
Description: partial 16S ribosomal RNA
Rfam family: Bacterial small subunit ribosomal RNA
Source: RNAcentral